This is a non-coding RNA of Dipodomys ordii (Ord's kangaroo rat), 606 nucleotides long. NCBI's taxonomy places the organism in Eukaryota, Metazoa, Chordata, Mammalia, Rodentia, Heteromyidae. The record is from the annotation of a RefSeq genome assembly.
AUGAUGCCUGGGGCUGCUCCCCUGGACUCUGCCCCAGGUCCCAGGCUCUUCUGUGGUGUUGUCCUGUGUCUCCUGGGAACAGGUGUGGUGCAUGCUGGGGUCCUCCAGUCCCCCAGACACCUGAUCAAAGCCAAGGGAGGAAAGGCCAUUCUGCAGUGCUCUCCUGACUCUGGACAUAAUACUGUGUACUGGUACCAGCAGGCCGAGGACAAGAGCCUCCAGCUCCUCAUUUCUUAUUAUCGAGAGUCAGAGAGAGAGAAAGGAAGCAUCCCUGAGCGCUUCUCAGCUCGGCAGUUCAGUGACUAUCACUCUGAGCUGAACAUGAGCGCCUUGGAGCUGAGGGACUCCGCGCUGUAUCUGUGUGCCAGCAGCUUGCACAGCCCUGCACAGGGACUGGCUUUCUCUACCCAAACCUUCCUGCCCCAGCUGAGGAUGUCACUGAGGGAGGGGAUGGAGAGCUCACAGUGGGUCAUGGCCUACCUGGAAAAUGAUAACAGGCAAAGAAUGUUACAGGACCAAGAGGGCAGCAAUGUCAUCAAGAUUCAGUCCCCUUGUGUGGUCGCAGGACGGAGAGCUCACAAAAGCACGGCAGAGAGACAUGAGUGA